UACUCGAGUGGCGAACGGGUGAGUAACACGUGGGUGAUCUGCCCUGAACUCUGGGAUAAGCCUGGGAAACUGGGUCUAAUACCGGAUAUGACCUUACAUCGCAUGGUGUUUGGUGGAAAGCUUUUGCGGUUCAGGAUGGGCCCGCGGCCUAUCAGCUUGUUGGUGGGGUAAUGGCCUACCAAGGCGACGACGGGUAGCCGACCUGAGAGGGUGAUCGGCCACACUGGGACUGAGACACGGCCCAGACUCCUACGGGAGGCAGCAGUGGGGAAUAUUGCACAAUGGGCGCAAGCCUGAUGCAGCGACGCCGCGUGAGGGAUGACGGCCUUCGGGUUGUAAACCUCUUUCACCAGGGACGAAGCGUGAGUGACGGUACCUGGAGAAGAAGCACCGGCCAACUACGUGCCAGCAGCCGCGGUAAUACGUAGGGUGCGAGCGUUGUCCGGAAUUACUGGGCGUAAAGAGCUCGUAGGCGGUUUGUCGCGUCGUCUGUGAAAUUCUGCAACUCAAUUGUAGGCGCGCAGGCGAUACGGGCAGACUUGAGUACUACAGGGGAGACUGGAAUUCCUGGUGUAGCGGUGAAAUGCGCAGAUAUCAGGAGGAACACCGGUGGCGAAGGCGGGUCUCUGGGUAGUAACUGACGCUGAGGAGCGAAAGCGUGGGUAGCGAACAGGAUUAAAUACCCUGGUAGUCCACGCCGUAAACGGUGGGUACUAGGUGUGGGGCUCAUUUCACGAGUUCCGUGCCGUAGCUAACACAUUAGUAC
Molecule: ribosomal RNA, 766 nt
Filed under: Gordonia sp. T-30
Lineage: Bacteria; Bacillati; Actinomycetota; Actinomycetes; Mycobacteriales; Gordoniaceae
Description: bacterial SSU rRNA
Rfam family: Bacterial small subunit ribosomal RNA
Source: RNAcentral